AGCGGCGGACGGGUGAGUAAUGCUUGGGAAUAUGCCUUAUGGUGGGGGACAACAGUUGGAAACGACUGCUAAUACCGCAUAAUGUCUACGGACCAAAGUGGGGGACCUUCGGGCCUCACGCCAUAAGAUUAGCCCAAGUGGGAUUAGCUAGUUGGUGAGGUAAUGGCUCACCAAGGCGACGAUCCCUAGCUGGUUUGAGAGGAUGAUCAGCCACACUGGGACUGGGACACGGCCCAGACUCCUACGGGAGGCAGCAGUGGGGAAUAUUGCACAAUGGGCGCAAGCCUGAUGCAGCCAUGCCGCGUGUGUGAAGAAGGCCUUCGGGUUGUAAAGCACUUUCAGUAAGGAGGAAAGGUUAAGUGUUAAUAGCACUUAGCUGUGACGUUACUUACAGAAGAAGCACCGGCUAACUCCGUGCCAGCAGCCGCGGUAAUACGGAGGGUGCGAGCGU
RNAcentral lists this ribosomal RNA (451 nucleotides) under uncultured bacterium. RNAcentral describes it as "bacterial SSU rRNA". It matches the Rfam family "Bacterial small subunit ribosomal RNA", at positions 94 to 541 of the family's 1533-position model. The record is from RNAcentral.